RNAcentral lists this unclassified non-coding RNA (377 nucleotides) under uncultured Actinomycetes bacterium. RNAcentral's name for it is "uncultured actinobacterium contains 16S-23S intergenic spacer region". Lineage: Bacteria; Bacillati; Actinomycetota; Actinomycetes. The record is from RNAcentral.
UCCGGUUUGGCACCGGCAGUCUCCCUAGAGUUCCCGGCAUCACCCGCUGGCAACUAAGGACAGGGGUUGCACUCGUUGCGGCACUUAAGCCAACACCUCACGGCACGAGCUGACGACAGCCAUGCAGCACCUGUGCUAGCCCCUUACGGACACGGGCUUUCACCCGCUUUAACUAGCAUGUCAAGCCCAGGUAAGGUUCUUCGCGUUGCAUCGAAUUAAGCAACAUGCUCCGCCGCUUGUGCAGGCCCCCGUCAAUUCCUUUGAGUUUUAGCCUUGCGGCCGUACUCCCCAGGCGGGGCGCUUAAUGCGUUAGCUACGGCACGGAACCCAUGGAAUAGGUCCCACACCUAGCGCCCAACGUUUACGGUGUGGACUAC